GACGAACGCUGGCGGCGUGCUUAACACAUGCGAGUCGAAUGGAAAGGCCCUGCUUUUGUGGGGUGCUCGAGUGGCGAACGGGUGAGUAACACGUGAGUAACCUGCCCUUGACUUUGGGAUAACUUCAGGAAACUGGGGCUAAUACCGGAUAGGAGCUCCUGCUGCAUGGUGGGGGUUGGAAAGUUUCGGCGGUUGGGGAUGGACUCGCGGCUUAUCAGCUUGUUGGUGGGGUAGUGGCUUACCAAGGCUUUGACGGGUAGCCGGCCUGAGAGGGUGACCGGCCACAUUGGGACUGAGAUACGGCCCAGACUCCUACGGGAGGCAGCAGUGGGGAAUAUUGCACAAUGGGCGGAAGCCUGAUGCAGCAACGCCGCGUGCGGGAUGACGGCCUUCGGGUUGUAAACCGCUUUCGCCUGUGACGAAGCGUGAGUGACGGUAAUGGGUAAAGAAGCACCGGCUAACUACGUG
Molecule: ribosomal RNA, 468 nt
Filed under: uncultured bacterium
Lineage: Bacteria
Description: partial 16S ribosomal RNA
Rfam family: Bacterial small subunit ribosomal RNA
Source: RNAcentral